GAGUGCUUGCACUCAAUUGGAAAGAGGAGUGGCGGACGGGUGAGUAACACGUGGGUAACCUACCCAUCAGAGGGGGAUAACACUUGGAAACAGGUGCUAAUACCGCAUAACAGUUUAUGCCGCAUGGCAUAAGAGUGAAAGGCGCUUUCGGGUGUCGCUGACGGAUGGACCCGCGGUGCAUUAGCUAGUUGGUGAGGUAACGGCUCACCAAGGCCACGAUGCAUAGCCGACCUGAGAGGGUGAUCGGCCACACUGGGACUGAGACACGGCCCAGACUCCUACGGGAGGCAGCAGUAGGGAAUCUUCGGCAAUGGACGAAAGUCUGACCGAGCAACGCCGCGUGAGUGAAGAAGGUUUUCGAUCGUAAAACUCUGUUGUUAGAGAAGAACAAGGACGUUAGUAACUGAACGUCCCCUGACGGUAUCUAACCAG
This 432-nucleotide ribosomal RNA is filed under the name uncultured bacterium. RNAcentral describes it as "bacterial SSU rRNA". It matches the Rfam family "Bacterial small subunit ribosomal RNA", at positions 64 to 486 of the family's 1533-position model. The record is from RNAcentral.